Molecule: RNA transcript, 3096 nt
Organism: Pomacea canaliculata
Lineage: Eukaryota; Metazoa; Mollusca; Gastropoda; Architaenioglossa; Ampullariidae
Exons: 2
Source: RefSeq, a predicted model, not a curated record
AGAUAUCGUCAGCAGCCAGUCUAAGGUUAGACGGUCAUGUAUCGGAAAUCGAUACAUUUAUUUCAUUCUGCAAAGAAAGAGGUUUUUCUGGUGGAAGAAAAGGAUAAAUAGGAAGUAACAGACAAUUAAGAAAAGAUCAUGCGAGUCCAAAGCCUUGCAGUCCUGCCAACUCUUGGGAGCAGACGAGCAGCGGAAACGUCGUCAUGGCAACCGUUCGCGUGGAAACGUCUUGCACACCCAGAAACACCGGUCCCAAGCCCACAUGAAAAGAAAACUAAUGGGAACCUGAGAAUCUACACCAUACAACUACAGGUCUGGUGGACUAAGGGUUUUGUAAAAUUUAAUUCGUCUUGCUUGCUUCCUGGACGGAAGCAUGCAUAUGGAGCAGACGGAAUCGCUAGUAAGUCCUGGAGAGAGUUGCUCCUUUUUCCGUUUCAGAAGUAAAAUAAUUGACUUGUUGGCCUAAAGGUACGAAACUAACGGUCACACUGUCCGACAGCUGUUGCCUCUCCUGUCUCCAGGGAAGCUGUUUCAGUUUCCGACAGUAACACCUCCAGCAAAGUAAGCAGCCAUCUGGAAGGCACAUGAAAGGACAUUCUUAGAAGUUUCUUAGAUGUCUAAAAUCUUGUGCAGUUCAAACUCCAUGCCUCCCGUUUAUUGCAGCAUUUAGUGAAGAUGAGCAGCCACGGAAGCAUCAUCGUUUCGAGGAUAGCAGAUCAUCUUGUCCCUUGACCUGAACUGGGGGUCAAGGGGUGGGUGGAACUGGACAGCGGCAGCAGGUGACAUGAUCUGUGGCUUUUACUUAGAAAGUGUUGGGCUACUCCCAAGAAACCACUAUCGUUUCUCUCCAUUGUUGAUACCAAUAUUAGCCAAUCUUUCGCAGGCUCUUUACAAGAUCGUCCAGUUACUUUAAUCAUCAUGUGUCCAGGCAGCAGCUAUCAGAAGAUGUCUUUGAUGUGAUUGCUGUUGUGUUCUCUAGUUAUGUCUAGUAUUCUUGGACUUUCUGACUCCAUGUUAGAACAUCAACCUGGAGAAUGGUUGUGCCGCGAAGCGUGGAUGAGACGGGGAUGGAAAUCAUUCUGCUUCAGAUGGUUUUUGCAUCUGAUGACGGCUCCGGCCACUUCUUCGUGGAAAAUGAAGGUUCGUGCUUGGUGUCUUCGCCACACUAGCAGAUCGUGGAGCCAUCUGUUUAUGUCUCCCUAAAGCUUGCCUCUCGAGACUUCCGGGAGUCUCAAUCACUUCCCAAUAGUAAGGCGCCAGCUCAUGGGUGAGUUAUCUCCCCUUGACUCACUAGCUGAGUGUGUGAAAACGUUUCACGUUCAGUCAGUCGGUUCUUGUUUUGACAUCUUGAUGGUGGUGUUGGCUCCAACGGCGCAGAUGCCAGAUUGAAAAUGCUAUCGUCGUCUUUUCGUCGUGUCUUUCUGGUGAACUUUUCAUAUGUUGUGAUAUUCCAAGUGUGAUCUCUCUACUGCCCAACAACAAUGUCUAUCCUCAUCCUCAUCCUCCUCAUCAUCAUCAACAAAAUUUACCCAGCACGUUUCUAAACUUUACAAAUGUUCUGUGUGCUUACUCUUGACUUUUUUUUCGUUUGUUCGGCGCUGAUUUUGGAGUCGUGGUUGUUUGGCAUUCAAAUCAUAACUCCCAUUACCUUCAUUUACAUGUUCAGCACAUGCGGUGACAGCCGUGUGCCGUCCUCUCCCUCCCUCCACACAUCCCUGCCCAUGCUUCACGAGGAAUCAACUGCUUGACAUUCACUCCCAUUUUCCAUCCGUACCCAGAAGACUGCCGAGCUCUGAGACCAGGGUGUUAUACGAUGCCCGUGUAAGAAAUAGUCUAACCCUGCUGGAAGAAAGACCCCAUACACACCGGGGUUGUCGUGCAGCUUAACCAAAGCUUCGAGCAGAUUUCAGGGGAAAAUCAUUUUUGUGUGUGCAAAGUACAAUUUGUUUCGGCUGUCGCACUUCUAGUAGAAGUCAGAUGGUCUCCUGUCUACAGUGAUUCCAGAAGCGACUUGUCAGCAGUCCCAGUGCCAUCAGUUAAUAAACAAACGUUGGACAGAGUAUUUUGUCAAGUCUUAUUGAACAUUAGUCAUCGCUUUAUUAGCGGGGCUUGAACUCACGAAUCACUUGGCGGUAGUGCGUGGUGUAGCAGUUCCUUUAUGUGUCACAUGUGGCCACCCGCUUAUAAUAACUCAAUAUCACAUACAAUGACACCACGACCACUAACCUUUCAACUUUCCUAGCCUUCGUGACAGUUUAUGUGAUACCUUUGUUACAUAUCUUUACUACAACAAGUCUUUGAUUAUAAUGUAUACCGGCAAGUUGGCAUUCACAAAGACAGCGUAGGCAAAAUAUUUACGAGUAUAUCUUUGACAGUUAUCGGUGUGAAAGACGAUAAUUUCAGUCUCUUCGUGAGGCUCCAAGGGUUUCGGAGGGUAGGUUUCAGAGGAUGGGGCUCAGGGGACAGUCGCAAGGAAUGGUUCGCUUGAGAUGGGCCUGAGACGGGGGGUCUCUAGACACUCGGGGGGCUGUCUGCAAGGUCUUCGCCAUUGGCGUAUGCGACGAUUGUUGGUGAGGACAAAAUGACCAUCAUUUUAUUUUUAUUUUUUUUAUUUUUUUUUAAUCAGGAUGAGAUAAACAAGUGUCGAAGGAAUUUUAACGUUGAUUGGUUGAUCUAUUCUGGACACACAUGUGAUCGUGUUCUGUGUGCAUAUAUGUGGUUAUUAGAUGAAUAGGUGGAAUGUGUGUGUAUGUGGCCUGUGUAUGUGUGUAUCCCUGUGUGUGUGUAUAUAUAUAUAAUGACAGGGGGUGAGUGUGAGUUUGAGCAGUAACCAUACAUCGUUUGCGACAGGACGGAAACUGCACGUGGGAGGCUGACGUCACGAGUCGCGGAGAACUUGACCCUCGCGUGCAAGCCUGUGGUCUGCCUGCCCACCCGCCGCCGCCAUCACCACCAUCACUCCUCUACAGUUCCAAGCUGCCUCCUGUGAGACCACUGCUUCUCUUGGCAGAUAACCCUGAUUUUUAUCUCCCCCUCUAAGUACCCUGACGAUAAAGGUGGCGACUGUUUUUCGCAGGUUCUGAUACAAGACUGGCG